Molecule: ribosomal RNA, 465 nt
Filed under: Vreelandella stevensii
Lineage: Bacteria; Pseudomonadati; Pseudomonadota; Gammaproteobacteria; Oceanospirillales; Halomonadaceae
Description: partial 16S ribosomal RNA
Rfam family: Bacterial small subunit ribosomal RNA
Source: RNAcentral
CCUACGGGAGGCUGCAGUGGGGAAUAUUGGACAAUGGGCGAAAGCCUGAUCCAGCCAUGCCGCGUGUGUGAAGAAGGCCUUCGGGUUGUAAAGCACUUUCAGUGGGGAAGAAAGCCUUGGGGCUAAUACCCUCGAGGAAGGACAUCACCCACAGAAGAAGCACCGGCUAACUCCGUGCCAGCAGCCGCGGUAAUACGGAGGGUGCGAGCAUUAAUCGGAAUUACUGGGCGUAAAGCGCGCGUAGGCGGUCUGAUAAGCCGGUUGUGAAAGCCCCGGGCUCAACCUGGGAACGGCAUCCGGAACUGUCAGGCUAGAGUGCAGGAGAGGAAGGUAGAAUUCCCGGUGUAGCGGUGAAAUGCGUAGAGAUCGGGAGGAAUACCAGUGGCGAAGGCGGCCUUCUGGACUGACACUGACGCUGAGGUGCGAAAGCGUGGGUAGCAAACAGGAUUAGAUACCCUAGUAGUC